Molecule: ribosomal RNA, 455 nt
Filed under: uncultured bacterium
Lineage: Bacteria
Description: partial 16S ribosomal RNA
Rfam family: Bacterial small subunit ribosomal RNA
Source: RNAcentral
GAUGAACGCUGGCGGCGUGCCUAAUACAUGCAAGUCGAGCGGUAACACUUCGGGUGACGAGCGGCGGACGGCUGAGUAACACGUAGGAAUCUACCCCAGACUGAGGGAUAAGCACCGGAAACGGUGUCUAAUACCGCAUACGCUCUAAGGAGUAAAGCUUCGGCGGUUUGGGAAGAGCCUGCGCAUGAUUAGCUUGUUGGUAAGGUAAUGGCUUACCAAGGCGACGAUCAUUAGCUGGUCUGAGAGGAUGAUCAGCCAGACUGGGACUGAGACACGGCCCAGACUCCUACGGGAGGCAGCAGUAGGGAAUUUUCCACAAUGGGCGAAAGCCUGAUGGAGCGACGCCGCGUGCGGGAUGAAGGCCUUCGGGUCGUAAACCGCUUUUGCCGGGGACGAAUAUUUGACGGUACCCGGCGAAUAAGGGGUUGCUAACUCUGUGCCAGCCGCCGCAGUAA